This 237-nucleotide long non-coding RNA is filed under the name Vigna radiata. RNAcentral describes it as "long non-coding RNA (VRAD_LNC016803)". Lineage: Eukaryota; Viridiplantae; Streptophyta; Magnoliopsida; Fabales; Fabaceae. The record is from RNAcentral.
UGGUGGUCCUGUGUUGGCAGAGGUGGUGUGAUAUUAGUGGGGUUGCAGUUGCGUGGCCAUAGAAAGGAUUCAGAAAGGAGUUGUCAGAUAGUGGUUAUUGAUUCAUGAGUGUGAUGGUUGUGUGGUUUUUGUUGAAGGUUUUUGAAUGUGUUGUGAUGAUGAGCAUGAAGCUAUGGAAGGUGGAAACUCAUCAGGUGCUACCUAGUUUUCUGUUCGAUUCAUCAUCUUUCUCUUCCC